This 1484-nucleotide ribosomal RNA is filed under the name Salmonella sp. RNAcentral describes it as "bacterial SSU rRNA". It matches the Rfam family "Bacterial small subunit ribosomal RNA". Lineage: Bacteria; Pseudomonadati; Pseudomonadota; Gammaproteobacteria; Enterobacterales; Enterobacteriaceae. The record is from RNAcentral.
AUUGAACGCUGGCGGCAGGCCUAACACAUGCAAGUCGAACGGUAACAGGAAGCAGCUUGCUGCUUCGCUGACGAGUGGCGGACGGGUGAGUAAUGUCUGGGAAACUGCCUGAUGGAGGGGGAUAACUACUGGAAACGGUGGCUAAUACCGCAUAACGUCGCAAGACCAAAGAGGGGGACCUUCGGGCCUCUUGCCAUCAGAUGUGCCCAGAUGGGAUUAGCUUGUUGGUGAGGUAACGGUCUCACCAAGGCGACGAUCCCUAGCUGGUCUGAGAGGAUGACCAGCCACACUGGAACUGAGACACGGUCCAGACUCCUACGGGAGGCAGCAGUGGGGAAUAUUGCACAAUGGGCGCAAGCCUGAUGCAGCCAUGCCGCGUGUAUGAAGAAGGCCUUCGGGUUGUAAAGUACUUUCAGCGGGGAGGAAGGUGUUGUGGUUAAUAACCGCAGCAAUUGACGUUACCCGCAGAAGAAGCACCGGCUAACUCCGUGCCAGCAGCCGCGGUAAUACGGAGGGUGCAAGCGUUAAUCGGAAUUACUGGGCGUAAAGCGCACGCAGGCUGUCUGUCAAGUCGGAUGUGAAAUCCCCGGGCUCAACCUGGGAACUGCAUUCGAAACUGGCAGGCUUGAGUCUUGUAGAGGGGGUAGAAUUCCAGGUGUAGCGGUGAAAUGCGUAGAGAUCUGGAGGAAUACCGGUGGCGAAGGCGGCCCCCUGGACAAAGACUGACGCUCAGGUGCGAAAGCGUGGGGAGCAAACAGGAUUAGAUACCCUGGUAGUCCACGCCGUAAACGAUGUCGACUUGGAGGUUGUGCCCUUGAGGCGUGGCUUCCGGAGCUAACGCGUUAAGUAGACCGCCUGGGGAGUACGGCCGCAAGGUUAAAACUCAAAUGAAUUGACGGGGGCCCGCACAAGCGGUGGAGCAUGUGGUUUAAUUCGAUGCAACGCGAAGAACCUUACCUGGUCUUGACAUCCACAGAAGAAUCCAGAGAUGGAUUUGUGCCUUCGGGAACUGUGAGACAGGUGCUGCAUGGCUGUCGUCAGCUCGUGUUGUGAAAUGUUGGGUUAAGUCCCGCAACGAGCGCAACCCUUAUCCUUUGUUGCCAGCGAUUAGGUCGGGAACUCAAAGGAGACUGCCAGUGAUAAACUGGAGGAAGGUGGGGAUGACGUCAAGUCAUCAUGGCUCUUACGACCAGGGCUACACACGUGCUACAAUGGCGCAUACAAAGAGAAGCGACCUCGCGAGAGCAAGCGGACCUCAUAAAGUGCGUCGUAGUCCGGAUUGGAGUCUGCAACUCGACUCCAUGAAGUCGGAAUCGCUAGUAAUCGUGGAUCAGAAUGCCACGGUGAAUACGUUCCCGGGCCUUGUACACACCGCCCGUCACACCAUGGGAGUGGGUUGCAUAAGAAGUAGGUAGCUUAACCUUCGGGAGGGCGCUUACCACUUUGUGAUUCAUGACUGGGGUGAAGUCGUAACAAGGUAACCC